RNAcentral lists this long non-coding RNA (649 nucleotides) under Homo sapiens (human). RNAcentral describes it as "HSALNT0382833". Lineage: Eukaryota; Metazoa; Chordata; Mammalia; Primates; Hominidae. The record is from RNAcentral.
GAGGAAUGGGGGCUUUGAUGUGCAACCGUUGCAUCUUGGAUGCAGAAGGACCACCUUCUCAACAUGCUACUAAAGGACUUCAGGGAUGUCCAUUCCAUCAGCAAAACCCAUUCUCCUCGAUUUGGCAAUUCUUUUCCAGUCCAUCCAUCCAUCCAUCCAUCCAUCCAUCCAUCCAUCCACCCAUCCAUCCAUCCAUCCAUGCAUCCAAGACGCUUUUAUUAAACAGGUGUUUGCUAACUGCCGGUGACCCCUCCGGGUGAAAAGAUACAGCCUCUGCUUGGCAAAGAGAACUACCAGGCAGGAUGAGAGGAAGGAGGCGGCAGAACUUCAGGGUCAGAAGAUGCAGGAGCUUUUGCAAAGAAGCCCGGGCCACCUUUUGUUAACUGUUUAACAAUCCCUUGGUUGCUGGCCGGCUCCCAUGCUCUUGCUUGGUCUGUCAAAGCAGCGGUAUUGUUCUGAGCUCUUAGGAGCCACUUGGAGAAUGUGUCAUUUUACUUUCCCUUCCUCCCACCUCUUCUGCCUCUGUUUUGCCUACCAUCAUUAAAUGCUCUGGCUCUUUAUCAUGGCUUUGAAAUCGAGAAGGACACUUUGGAAUUCAAUUAGCCACAUCGUUGCCACAGCAACAAAAAUAUAAACUUAAAUGAUUUAU